GCGGGCGCCGCGGCCGGGCCCGGGCCCGGGGCCCGCGGAGCUCAGCGCGAUGCUGAGUGCGGGCAGCCUGCAUUUAACGGGCGCAGGAAUGCGGCCGGUUAUGCGGCGGCGGCGGAGGCCCCGCGGGCAGGGGCAGGGCUGCCCCAUCUGCAGCAGCCUGGGCGCAGCGGGUCUGCUGCUGGUCCAGCACAGUGCGCAAGGCUGCACCCGGUGUCUCCAGGCUGGAAAAGAUGCACCGAGGUGAUGUGAGGAAAAUUGGAUCCAGCUGUCCAGCUGUCUUCAAGAGCGUUGCUGAAGCAGAUUCAGUAGCUGAGAACUUUGUUUUACCAGCCAGGGAAGGUGAUGGCAGCUGCCAGCUGUGGCUUAUGCAGAACUGCGAGGACAUCAGAGCAAUGCCGAUCUGAACUCUGCCAGACAGGAGGGUUGCAGCCAUCCUCUGGAGGAGCCGCUUCACCAUUACGUGGACAAAGGAGCUUUGUUCAUAGCCAUCCAGUGUAAUAUAUGAGGUAAAAUGGAAAACUUAAGAAAUGAAAAAUAGAAUAUCUCCAACCUGAGACAACUCAAUUUACCAAUCCAUAAAUCUAUAUCCAUUAUGCUCAAUAAGAUGUACAGGUACAAUGGUGCUGGUGUCUUUUCUUGUCCAUCUUCCUGUCUGUAAUACAAGCCUUUCAGAGUUUCUAUGGUGCAUCUGAUUAGUCUCAGUAGGCACUUUGGAACUGAAUGCCUUUUAGACAGAACUACAUGAUAGUUUGAUUAGUUUUACUGUCUGAAUAAAGUUUCUUUGUGGAA
Rhea pennata is the source of this 789-nucleotide long non-coding RNA. RefSeq lists it as uncharacterized. The transcript has 2 exons. The record is from RefSeq and is a predicted model, not a curated record. Lineage: Eukaryota; Metazoa; Chordata; Aves; Rheiformes; Rheidae.